Molecule: ribosomal RNA, 1210 nt
Filed under: Scolopendra cingulata
Lineage: Eukaryota; Metazoa; Arthropoda; Chilopoda; Scolopendromorpha; Scolopendridae
Description: partial 28S ribosomal RNA
Rfam family: Eukaryotic large subunit ribosomal RNA
Source: RNAcentral
CCAAGGAGUCUAACAUGUGCGCGAGUCGUAGGGUUGACUUGCAAGUUAAUACCCGAAGGCGUAAUGAAAGUGAAAGUCGGUGCGUCUGGCCGACUGAGGCGGGAUCCGUCCGGGUAUCGCUGCAGCUCUCGAGGGGGCUGCGGGAGCCCGGCGGCGCACCGCUGGCCCGUCUCGACCGCUUCCUGUCGGCGAGGCGGAGCAAGAGCGCACACGUUGGGACCCGAAAGAUGGUGAACUAUGCUCGGGCAGGACGAAGCCAGAGGAAACUCUGGUGGAGGUCCGUAGCGAUUCUGACGUGCAAAUCGAUCGUCAGACCUGAGUAUAGGGGCGAAAGACUAAUCGAACCGUCUANNNNNNNNNNNNNNNNNAAGUUUCCCUCAGGAUAGCUGGUGCUCGGUUUGGAACGCAGUCUCAUCCGGUAAAGCGAAUGAUUAGAGGCCUUGGGGCCGAAUCGACCUCAACCUAUUCUCAAACUUUCAAUGGGUGAGAUGUCCGGCUUGCCUGACUGAAGCCCGGACUAAAUCUGAUCCGACAGGGUGUCGAUCUGUCAGCGUUUUCUGGGAGUAAAAUCCUCGUUGACCUGGCUGCGGCCCUGCUCGGUACGGAUGCGAGUGCCCAGUGGGCCAAUUUUGGUAAGCAGAACUGGCGCUGUGGGAUGAACCAAACGCCGGGUUACGGCGCCCGAUGCGGACGCUCAUCAGACCCCAUGAAAGGUGUUGGUUGCUAUAGACAGCAGGACGGUGGCCAUGGAAGUCGGAANNNNNNNNNNNNNNNNNNNNNNNNUUCCAUGUGAACAGCAGUUGAACAUGGGUCAGUCGGCCCUAAGGAAUAGGGGAAACCCGUUCCGAAGCGGGGUGUUUGAGCAGAACCAGACAUAACCCCGGCUGACCGAAAGGGAAUCGGGUUAAUAUUCCCGAACCCGGAUGCGGAAGUCGGACCCUUCGGGGUCCAAUGCGGUAACGCAAACGAACUCGGAGACGUCGGCGGGAGUCCCGGGAAGAGUUGUCUUUUCUUUGUAAGGAACUUAACUCCCUGGAAUCGGUUCGACCGGAGAGAGGGAUGUUGUUCCCGUAAAGCACCGCGGCUCUUGCGGUGUCCGGAGAGCUCUCGCUGACCCUUGAAAAUCCGAGGGAGAUAAUGAUUUUCGCACCGGACCGUACCCAUAUCCGCAGCAGGUCUCCAAGGUGAACAGCCUCUAGUCGAUAGAACA